Molecule: non-coding RNA, 45 nt
Organism: Schistosoma mattheei
Lineage: Eukaryota; Metazoa; Platyhelminthes; Trematoda; Strigeidida; Schistosomatidae
Source: Rfam
AUCGGGCUGACGAGUCCCAAAUAGGACAAAUCGUGCGUCCUGGAU